UCCAAGCCAGGCCUCAGGAAUGCCCCGUUUCCAUUGUCCUCAAGGGAUAAGGACACAAAGAUGCUCCCGAUCACUUCAUCAUUGUCCUCCCUGAAUCCCACUUGCAUCCCGACAUUCCAGCCUCCAGGACUGGCGCUGCAGCUCGGAUCCUGUCCAAGAUCCGAGGAUCGCCGUGGAUCCUGAAGUUGGGCUCUUUGUGCUGCCCCACAUUCCUCGUCCUCCUAAUGGAAUUAAAGAGGAUGCCCAGAAAAGGCCUGGAAAAGAAGAGUGGCAAAGGGAUGAAGAAGACAAUACGUGGAUCCACGGACCAGCUCUGCUGCCUCAAGGAUGGAAGAACACCAAGGAAAAAGGAGUGUGGAUCUUUCCGCCUCGCUGUCAGCCCGCCAGAAGAAAAGAGGCAAACUUCAGGGGACAAAGAAGAAACCAAGCAGAACACCCAAG
Molecule: long non-coding RNA, 441 nt
Organism: Strigops habroptila (Kakapo)
Lineage: Eukaryota; Metazoa; Chordata; Aves; Psittaciformes; Psittacidae
Exons: 4
Source: RefSeq, a predicted model, not a curated record